AAGUUUAAGGCGAUACAUCAUAGAUUUUGGGUCAUUUUCACUUGGUUUUUUCUCAUAAAAUAUAACUUGCAUCGUUUCAAUAUUUUAGGAUAUGAAAGUAAAUAUAUUCAAUUAUAUUUGUGGAAGAUGAAAACACGAUUGGAACAAAAAUCCUCGAUCAAAAAAAUUCAGGAACACAAGUCUAGAUUUCGAUUAUUUAUCUCAAACUAUAAGGAUUUAAAAUUUGAAUUUUGUACCAAAUUGAAGAUCAUUAAAAAAUAAUAACUUCUGGAAGAUGAAAUUUCGAUUGGAUGUUUUGUUUAGACGUCAUUAAACUAAAUAGAUGAAAACAGGAAUUAAAAUUGUUGCGACAAUAGUACUGGACAGUAGAGUGUUGACACUUUAUCUCUGUCUCAUUCCUACACGACCGGGUGGGAUAAAGCGCUGUCCUUUGUAAGCGUGCCUCACUCCGCGGAUCACAUUCUCGGACGCAGGACCUGUGCCAGUCGCUCCGAGCGUCGUUGAAAAAUAUUCUGCGAAGUAUUUAAUUUCCCACAUUCAUUUUGUUUGAAUUUAUUUCUGUACAUAAUUGUCAGCUCAGCUUAAUGAAUUGUGUCGUUGAUCUCUGAAUCUUACGCGUCGCUUUUCCGCCGGCCGGGGCGAUAUUACGAAAAAUAAAUUGUCUCCGAUAUCGUCGUUGACAAUGUCCGAACAGAGAAGUGCGGAUGGUGUGGAGUCGACAGUUGAUAUUAUGGACUUAGAUAGUCAUGGCAUUAUUCCGACGCCGACAUCAACGACAACCCAAGAUAGAAAACCAUAUAUAGAAAACCAUAG
Amyelois transitella is the source of this 813-nucleotide long non-coding RNA. RefSeq lists it as uncharacterized. The record is from RefSeq and is a predicted model, not a curated record. NCBI's taxonomy places the organism in Eukaryota, Metazoa, Arthropoda, Insecta, Lepidoptera, Pyralidae. The transcript is spliced from 2 exons.